GGCCCGUUGGUCAAGUGGUUAAGACACCGCCCUUUCACGGCGGUAACACGGGUUCGAGUCCCGUACGGGUCA
Enterococcus dispar ATCC 51266 is the source of this 72-nucleotide transfer RNA. It matches the Rfam family "tRNA". Rfam says of the family: Transfer RNA (tRNA) molecules are approximately 80 nucleotides in length. Their secondary structure includes four short double-helical elements and three loops (D, anti-codon, and T loops). The record is from Rfam. Lineage: Bacteria; Bacillati; Bacillota; Bacilli; Lactobacillales; Enterococcaceae.